GCAAAGGGCUAUUAAGUCUAUUCAAAUGGAAAAUUCGCCUGAGGCUAAGUUAAUUCCUUUUCCCUUAGGCCGUUUACAAACAAAGACGCUAAAGGCCAAACCUAAGGUUAGGAAUGUGACUUUAAACUCGCAGGACUAUACUAGCCCGCAGGGAGAUUCUAGGGACGAAUAUCAUAGAGGACAAACCUCCGAGAUCUUAGAAAGCCCUCCGGAAGAGGUAGAGGAUCAUCCUACAGAGGAAAAUCUGGAAGAGAUUCCUAGAGGGGCUCAGAGUUCUUCUCCGCCACGUGGUUUAGAAACCCAAAUUCAAAAUGGCGAUAGUACAGAGUCUGACCAUGACUUGCAAUCUGAGGGAGAAGAAUCAGACAUGGAAAUUCAGGACUUACAGAGGAAUCUUAACAGGCUGCGUUUAACACCGCCUGUCCAGGCUAUUCGAAUUCGGCCGGUACCUGCUAAAAGGACAAAAUUUAACAGGUACGCUGGGUUAACAAUGACUUUUCUUACCCCGUUCCAGCGAGGUAUUAAGAAAGCACAGGAAGAUGGGGAGGAUACUAGCGGUUUUCAACUUUUUCCAGUUUUUGAGCAAGUUAAUGAACAAGAUCAGAGAGUUAGAGUUCAUGCUGUAAUCCCAUUUAAAACCAUUAAGGAACUAAAAAGUGCAUGUGAGACAUAUGGUCCAAAUUCCCCUUUUGUACAGAGCCUGAUAGAAAAUAUUUGCUCACAACCCCUUCCUCCUAGCGAUUGGAUUUCUUUAGCCAGAUCUUGUCUGAGCGGGGGAGAUUUCUUACUUUGGAGGACUUACUGGACUGAUUUCUGUACUGAACAGGCAGAAAAGAACAAAAGACAGGAUAUAGAAACGCCAGUAGAAAUGUUUCUACGGACAGGUGAAUUUACUGACCUAGAAAGACAGUUAAAUUAUGAUUUUGUAGUGUACAAUCAAAUAACUGAUUGUGCGAAACGCGCCUGGAGACAAAUUGUCUCCAAGGACCAGUCCAAUUUAGUUCUUACCAAAAUCAGGCAAGGUGCGAGUGAACCUUACUCAGAUUUCGUAGCCCAGUUGUACCAGGCUGCAAACAGGUCAAUUGGGGACUCGGGAGCGAGUGAGUUCAUUGUUAGGCAAUUGGCAUUCGAAAACGCAAAUAAAUACUGUCAGGAUAUUCUUAGACCGCACCGUAAAAAAGGGACAGUUUCUGAGUUUAUUCGCUUAUGUUCUGACAUAGACUCUACUCAUUUACAAACAGUGGCCCUAGCUGCAGCAAUAAAAGAAACUUUGAAACCACAGGAUUUAGUACGAAAACCCCGCGGAAAAUGUUACAUUUGCGGGAGAAAUAAUCAUUUUGCGCGGGAUUGUCGCAUGCGCAAUUCUAAGUUCAGGGCUCCAUCUACUGGCGAUAAUAGAUAUUGCAGGGCUCAGCCCCAUGCGGUAGAUCAAGAUGGCGCGGAUGAGCCCGCCUUCUUGUCAUCAUUUCCGCCUGGCCGGAACACAAACUUCCGGUCGGCCCGCCCCCGGGCCGAAAAUGAGGAAGUAGGUGGUCGCGCAAUGUGACGUCAUCGCGCCGACCAUGGGGGCCGCCAUCUUUAAUUUUACCGGAGCGAAACAAGCAGUUUCCGUACAAAC
This 1618-nucleotide long non-coding RNA is filed under the name Marmota monax (woodchuck). Lineage: Eukaryota; Metazoa; Chordata; Mammalia; Rodentia; Sciuridae. The record is from RNAcentral.